GGAUGUGAGGGCAAUCUGGCUGCAACAUCCAUUGCUCCAUUGAUUGCCAGGGUUGAUUUAGCUGAUCUGGCUGGGCUAGGCGGGUGUCUCCUUCCUCCCUCACCCCUCCAUGUGCAUCCCUCCCAAAGCUGCACACUGGGUCAAAGAGGACUAUCAUCCUUGUUAGAGGGGUUCUGGUCUUUGGUCAGGGGUGUACGAGUAGUUGUGCUCCUCUGCUAGAACUGCCAAACAAGCUCUCAAGGUCCAUUUAGUAAAAAUGCAUGCAGUAUAUUGGAAAUGGAAGAAAACUAUUACUUUAAUUAGAGUAUCUACAAACAAAAGAAUAUAUAGCAGUCAUACACUUAAU
RNAcentral lists this small nuclear RNA (346 nucleotides) under Saimiri boliviensis boliviensis (Bolivian squirrel monkey). RNAcentral describes it as "7SK RNA (ENSSBOG00000012861.1)". It matches the Rfam family "7SK RNA". Rfam says of the family: 7SK was discovered as an abundant small nuclear RNA in the mid-70s but a possible function has only recently been suggested. The record is from Rfam by way of RNAcentral. Lineage: Eukaryota; Metazoa; Chordata; Mammalia; Primates; Cebidae.